CCUACGGGAGGCAGCAGUGGGGAAUCUUGCGCAAUGGGAGAAAUCCUGACGCAGCGACGCCGCGUGGGCGACGAAGGCCUUCGGGUCGUAAAGCCCUGUCAGAAGGGACGAAAAACAAAAUGGCUAAUAUCCAUUUUGCUUGACGGUACCUUCAGAGGAAGCACCGGCUAACUACGUGCCAGCAGCCGCGGUAAUACGUAGGGUGCAAGCGUUGUUCGGAGUGACUAGGCGUAAAGCGUGUGUAGGUGGUUAGAAAAGUUGGAUGUGAAAUCCAUUGGCUUAACCAAGGAAGUGCAUUCAAAACUACCUAGCUAGAGGACGGGAGAGGGAGGUGGAAUUCCUAGUGUAGAGGUAAAAUUCGUAGAUAUUAGGAGGAAUACCGGAGGCGAAGGCGGCCUCCUGGACCGUUUCUGACACUGAGACACGAAAGCGUGGGGAGCAAACAGGAUUAGAUACCCCUGGAGU
RNAcentral lists this ribosomal RNA (465 nucleotides) under uncultured delta proteobacterium. RNAcentral describes it as "partial 16S ribosomal RNA". It matches the Rfam family "Bacterial small subunit ribosomal RNA", at positions 338 to 794 of the family's 1533-position model. The record is from RNAcentral. Lineage: Bacteria; Deltaproteobacteria.